CCUGACUUCUAUAAUCUUUUUUUAAUUUGAAAUUUCUAAUAGAAAAUUAAUUUAAUUUUAAAAUAAUAAUAUUUUAUUUUAUUUUUAAAUUCAUAAUAAUAUGUUUAUUAUCAUUAUUAUGUUAAAAUAUUUUAAAUUUAAAAUAUAUAAUAAAUUAAAUCAAAAUACUAAAAGACAUAACUAACACCCCCGUGGCCGUGAUGUUUGGAUUUGAAAUAAACAUAAAUUUGGAUUUGGAAAUGGAUCGGCCUAUACAGUUUGAUUGUUUUCUGAAACAAUAGGAACCCAAGAUUGUUAGAAGCAUAUGAAGGUAGAAAAUGGGCGAUUUAGGUGGGUGUAUAUGGUUUCAGUUUAAUUUAAUUUCUAACGGCUAUUUGAUAAGUUUAAAAUAUAUAAGGAAAGUUUUGAUCUACAUGCCUUAUUUGAUUUUCUUGCAACGGUCAUAAGAUAUACCAUUAAUAAUAUUAUUAUUUAUUAUGUAUAUAUACUCUGCUCUGGCAAAUGUGGUAUUAUGGUCUACAUAAAAAAAGAAAGGUUCCAGAAGUCGGUGCUCCUGGGAGGCUUGUAUUUCUAUUUCGAUCAGGUAAGGAUUUCUUUGGGCUUGACGUUUCUGGUGGAAUAGCGGGUUGAACCGCGACGUUGCGGCGACCAUUUCAAUAGGUACGGGAAGGUAUGUUUUAGUUGAAUUCAAGAUUCGCUACUGGUUAGGAGUGGUGAUUUGCGAUUGCUUCAAACUACUUGAUUAGGAUAAUACAUUCGCUUGGUAUACAACUUACAAAUUUUCAAUUUUGAGUUGUUCAUAUACUUUAAGUUGUGAUUUGAAGCUUCAAUCUGCCUUCCUCCUCCUUCGCUACAACGGUAAGGGUAGAAAAUUUAGGGCUUGAGGAAUACAGUGUUUGAUUUUUUUAGCAAUAGAAAUUUUGUUUUUCUCAAAAAAAAAAUCCGUCUCUCGUUCUCAUUUCUUUCAGCGUUGCAUUUGAUAUUCAGUGUUUUGAAUUCCAUUUCUCCUUUCCAAUUUAAACAUGCUCUUUUAUUUUAUUUUGGGUUCGGGAUCGGCUAUGGUGUCAGGUGAUUCUGGGUUGGAUUUUGGUUCAAGUUCAAGUUCUGGUUCGGUCUGGCUCUGACUCUAACUUAGGUGAUUCUGGGUUGUGUUUGGGUUUAGUUCCGGCUCUAACUUGUGCUUGGAUCUGGUUUGGCUCUAGCAUUGGUGCAGUUCUUGUAUUAAUUGGGUUCUAGUUCAUGUUUGGUUCUGGCUUUGGCUAUGGCUCGGGUGAUUCCGGGUCAGGUUCAAGUUAGUUCCAGCUCUAGCUUGGGCUUGGAUCUGGUUUGGCUCUAGCUUUGGUGCAGUUCUUGUAUGGAUCGGGUUCUAUUUCAUGUUUGGCUCUAGCAUUGGUGCAGUUCUUGUAUUAAUUGGGUUCUAGGUCAUGUUUGGUUCUGGCUUUGGCUAUGGCUCGGGUGAUUCCGGGUCAGGUUCAAGUUGGUGCAGUUCUUGUAUUAAUUGGGUUCUAGGUCAUGUUUGGUUCUGGCUUUGGCUAUGGCUCGGGUGAUUCCGGGUCAGGUUCAAGUUGGUGCAGUUCUUGUAUGGAUCGGGUUCUAGGUCAUGUUUGGUUCUGGCUUUGGCUAUGGCUCGGGUGAUUCCGGGUCAGGUUCAAGUUGGUGCAGUUCUUGUAUUAAUUGGGUUCUAGGUCAUGUUUGGUUCUGGCUUUGGCUAUGGCUCGGGUGAUUCCGGGUCAGGUUCAAGUUGGUGCAGUUCUUGUAUGGAUCGGGUUCUAGGUCAUGUUUGGUUCUGGCUUUGGCUAUGGCUCGGGUGAUUCCGGUCAGGUUCAAGUUGGUGCAGUUCUUGUAUUAAUUGGGUUCUAGGUCAUGUUUGGUUCUGGCUUUGGCUAUGGCUCGGGUGAUUCCGGGUCAGGUUCAAGUUAGUUCCAGCUCUAGCUUGGGCUUGGAUCUGGUUUGGCUCUAGCUUUGGUGCAGUUCUUGUAUGGAUCGGGUUCUAUUUCAUGUUUGGUUCUAGAUUUGGCUAUGACUCGGGUGAUUCCGGGUCAGGUUCAAGUUAGUUCCUACUCUAGCAUGGCCCUGGUUGAGGUUCAACUCUGGCUCAGGUGAUUCUGGGUUGGGUUUGAAUCUAGUUUGGUCUAGCUUGGGCAUGGAUUGAGUCUGGUCCGUGUUUUGGUUUUGGGUCUCUAACACUGCCUUGGGCUUAGGCGUUUCUGAGUCAACUCCCGUUCUAGUUCCAAUUCUAGCAUGGUCAGGUAUACUACAUGAUCUGGUUCAGUCCUCAGCUUUGAUUUUGGCUCUAAAUCCAGCCAAGAUCAAAUCUCUUUUUCAUGGUUUAGUUCUAGUUCUUGUCUUUCUUUGCUCUUGUGCAGUUCUUGUUUGGGCUCGUGCCUGACUCUAGCUCUAGCUCAGGUGGUUCUGGUUCGGGUUUGAGUUUGUUUCCGGCUCUAGCUCUUCUUUGAUUGGGUUGCGGGUCUUGUUCAUGUUGUAGUUUUUCUAGUCUUGCUUUUUGAUGUGGUUCUUGUCUGGUUUGGGUUUGGAUCUUGCUCAUGCUCUAGCUCUCAUGUUCCUGUUUUGGUUUGGCUUCACUCCAGUCGAUUGCAUUGUUUAAUUUUUCUAGUUUGUUCUUUUUAGUUCAAAUAUUCACCGUUUAUUGGUUUUUAUGGAAGUUUUAUCCACAUGCGACUAUAUUUUUCAUCUUGGUCCACUUUUCAAAUAAUGCUUAUAAGCUCUCUUGACCUAUUUUUCAAUCAAAUUAUCAAGUUAUAUUGCUGUUUUUUUGCCUCACAAUCUGAGCUGAAUGAUGAGGCAUAAACAGAUUUGAGUUGAGCAUCAAUAAGAAAAUCAACCCGUAUCUUGGCGGGGAAAUCCGGAAGGCAUGCCAUACGAUGUGCAACAGAUCUUGCAGCCAUGGCGUGGCCGAUUAGUGCAUUGUCAUUCAAUUCAUUUCAAUUAGAAAAUCGGCCUGUUUCUUGGCGGGGUAAUCUGGAAGGCAUGUCAUAUGAUGUGCAACAGGAAAUUUUGCAACCAUAGCGUUGCUGAUUAGUGCAUUGUCAUUCAAUUCAUUUCAAUUUAUUGAGUGAUGAAUGUACAUAUUCUAAAUUCCUAUCAAGCUCAAUAAAAUAAUAUAUAUAUAUAUAUUUGUACAUUGGAUUACAUAACUUCUUGUUAGCAACCAACUUACAACUUGAGUUAUAAUAUUACAUAUAGCCUUCUGCUCAUUUUCGUUGGGUUGGAAUACCUUUAAAUAUUAUUUCAUUUUUUUUUUUAUCAAGGCAUGAUUUCCUUCAAUUGUAUCUCUACUUGAGAACUUUAUUGACUGCUUUCAAUGAUGUUCAUUAUAAGCAUUAUUUUAAUAUGGACUCUUUUCAAAUACUAAUUAAUAGCUUGUUUUUUUUAAAGACAGGGCUAAUGGUGCUUGCGAAUCUUUGAGCCAUGUUGUGCCUAUCUGUUCUUUUGCAAUCUUACUACGUAUUGUGCUACAAUCAUUCUUUAAUUGAUCUGGUUGGGACUCUUCUCCUUUUUGUUUUUCUGUUUAACAGUAAAGUCUGUGACAUGUGAUUAAGACUUAAGAUUUGUCAUUAUGCUGUUUUCAUUCAUUUUUAUCAUGCUGGUAAUUUUUAAUGGACUAUCUAAUUGUGUUUGGAUAUAUUUAUAUGUUAUCUUACGUGGGACCCAUAUGAGGUAUAUUGUGUUAUUAAUUAUUAAUAUUUCCUUCUCCUUUCUUCUUCUUCAUUACCCGAUGUUACAUCAGGUGAGGUUCUCCAGUGAGGAGAUGCCAUCAAAAGAUCUAGUUGUCCCCUCCCUUAAGGGAGGAAGCCAAGGGCCACUUAAUAAGAUGAUAAAGGAGGAAAGAAGAAAUUUUUACAUGAAAUAGAGCUCCAAAGUGUUAAGUUACUUAUUUUUCUCUUUGACAUUUCCUCAACUUAGUUUCCUUUACUCUUUUUUGCAGUUGUUCAGGGUAGGAAGAUAUCUAGAUUUGGCUGUAGUCCUGGAAUUGACUCUCUUCCGAUUUGGGUAAGGAUUAGAAUGAUCUUCUAUGAGUCUUACCAUCCACCACUGCCUUCUUGCUUCUCUUUUAAGGUAAUUCCCAGUAAAUUUGUUUGAUGUUUCUUAAUGUGCACUUGUGAAUGGAUGGGCAUAUAGUGAUGUUGUUUAAUGCAUUCUUGUGAGAAUGGACAGUAUGUUGUUUAUGCAUUCAAUAAGCAUGUAUUUAAAUGAUUAAAUUUUGUAUA
Long non-coding RNA from Andrographis paniculata, 4229 nucleotides. RefSeq lists it as uncharacterized. The transcript is spliced from 2 exons. The record is from RefSeq and is a predicted model, not a curated record. Lineage: Eukaryota; Viridiplantae; Streptophyta; Magnoliopsida; Lamiales; Acanthaceae.